ACGAAGCAGUCUCCUCUCAUUCUCCAGUGGAAACUGUUUUCCUAAAUCGCUACGUGUGUUCAUUAAUGCAGGGGAAAAACAUUGUAGAGCCAAACUGUGCUUUGAAACGUUGAGCGUCUAUAUGUGCAAUAAAAAUAUUCAUUUUGAUUCAUCUGUCAUUGCAAGGCUACAGUUGUCUAGACACACAGUAAUUGAUUUGAGAAGCCAAAGAGGUUCAUUUUCUAUAUUCUGAGAGUCUGAUGGAAAACACUUGUCACAAGUGUCAGACGCAUCUUAUUCAAAAUAGAUUUCUAUCAAAUAUGAGCCCUUCCUCAAACACAUACGUACAUACUGAUUGUAGGAGAGUGCAGCCACAAAGCUGAAUGGGAGACUGUACAAUGUGUGUGUGUGGAGGGAAUAAUGAAGGGGCGGUCGCUCCCCGGCCGCGGCGUCCGUGCGGGAGGUUAUUCCUGGAGAAGUGACGUACGAAUCUGAUCACAAUCACUAUUUUACUGACUUCAGCGCGAGCGUGGGAGGCCUGAAUCUCUAAGAAUAGAAAACCCUCCCAGUUAUGGUCCAUCCGUGAUCUGAGCUGCUCGUCUUAGCCUGGAGCCGGUCCCAGCAGGGGGCCGGUCCGUCACCGGCCGCACACACACACAGGGACGUCUGCCUCUUCAGUUUGUCCUUUCACGUUUUAUGUCCAAAGUUCCAUGUCUCGCAAAUUAAUGUGGUUCAUGAACCUGUGUUUUCUAGGAGCCGGUGGUGUCAGACGCCUGCAGCUGAUGGUGGGAUGCUAAUUAACGCUAGAAGGACCUCAUUGGUGCUGACGUGCUGGAGCUUCUGUUGCUCCGGUGACAUUUGCCACAGGAACAGGCUCCGUCAUUAUCUGCUGUUUGUGACUCAUCACUUCCCCGAUGACAGAACCCUGGGAGAGGAUUUCCCUCCUACAGCUGACAGCUCACAACAAGAAGGGAGCACAGCUGCUGUAUCUGACCUCACGCCAUGCAAUCACAUAUUAUAGAAAAUAUUCACCCACAAAGAAAAUGAGAAACAAUUUUUUUGGGGGGGAUCAUGUCUCACAUUCCAUCGGGCGGAAUCAAUGGAUCUUAUAUGAGGCAAAUAAUUAAUGCUGGAGCACAGUCCCGCAAGAAAAUCUGAAGCGUUGUGGAACCGUCUUUUUAAAGCUUCGACCCCGGAGCUCAUGAGAACGUGUUUGGAAGCGCUUUGAAUUGAUGCGCUCCUAUUGUGCCUUUUAGAAGAUUUCAGCCUUUUCACUUCAUUGCUCCCUCAUUGACUCACCAUUAAUGACAUUUCUGAAGAAAGAUGAAUAAUUGAUGUUAUUACUGAUGAAACUUAUCUGGAAGGAGUGAAACUUGGAGGCGCCGAGCGGAGCUAAAGACCGGCCUGGACACAACAGAUAGGAAAAGGACCGAGAGGCCACUGCCUAUUUAUCAAGAGUAAGGUGCAUGAAAUUGGCUCUUAACCUCACAGUUAGAAGGUUUAAUUAGAAACCAUGCUUUUGCCACAGGAAGCACGGAGGAGGGGGCAAGUUGUCCAAACAGGGUGAUAAAUGACUUGAGGGACAGGAGGCCUCGCAGGGAAACAGGCUGCUGAGAGGUGACAGCUCUGGUCGCGGCGGGAGGUGAGACGAGCGUCUGAAGGAGCAGGAGAUCGCAGCCCAAGUGCAAGUUCGCACCUCCAGACCUGGAAGGGCUGUUAUCACCGCGGAGGUGAGGGCAGCGUGAGACACGGGUCCGGGUCGGCGCGGCGGCGGCGGCUCAGGCUGACGACAUGGAGUCUUUGCUUCCCUGUGGUUCAGUAUGUGCGUUUUAUGUUAGUGCAAACGAAAAACUUUUUUAUUUUUAAUCGCGUCAUUUUGAAUGGUUUACUUCUGCUUUCCUACUAUUAUAUAUAGAGUUGAUCUUAGACAUAUUUUUAUAUUUGAACACUAGAUUACAUGGAUUCCAGUUUAAAGCACAGACCAAACACACAUCUGCACUCAUCUGCAUGUUGUGCAUGUUGUAAUAUGUUUUUAGGAACGUUAAGGAACCAACAAAAUCUUUUUUUAAUUUAAACUACAGUGUCAUUAAAUGAGUCUUUACUUUAACAAAACAAACUGAAAUGAUU
Long non-coding RNA from Betta splendens (Siamese fighting fish), 2106 nucleotides. Lineage: Eukaryota; Metazoa; Chordata; Actinopteri; Anabantiformes; Osphronemidae. The record is from Ensembl.